UAGGCACUUCAGAGCAAAUAG
Molecule: non-coding RNA, 21 nt
Filed under: Caenorhabditis elegans
Lineage: Eukaryota; Metazoa; Nematoda; Chromadorea; Rhabditida; Rhabditidae
Source: RNAcentral